RNAcentral lists this ribosomal RNA (502 nucleotides) under uncultured bacterium. RNAcentral's name for it is "bacterial SSU rRNA". It matches the Rfam family "Bacterial small subunit ribosomal RNA", at positions 28 to 507 of the family's 1533-position model. The record is from RNAcentral.
AAUGAACGCUGGCGGCGUGCCUAACACAUGCAAGUUGAGCGGUAAGGCCCCUUCGGGGGUACACGAGCAGCGAACGGGUGAGUAUCGCGUGGGUAAUCUACCUUGAGGUGGGGGAUAGCCCCGGGAAACCGGGGGUAAUACCGCAUAAGUCCUCAACGACACAAGUCGAUGAGGGGAAAGGCGGGGCUCCUUCGGGACCUGUCGCCUCUGGAUGAGCCCGCGUCCGAUUAGCUUGUUGGUGGGUAAUGGCCUACCAAGGCAACGAUCGGUAGCCGGCCUGAGAGGGUGAACGGCCACAUUGGGACUGAGACACGGCCCAGACUCCUACGGGAGGCAGCAGUGGGGAAUUUUGGGCAAUGGGGGAAACCCUGACCCAGCGACGCCGCGUGGAGGAUGACGGCCUUCGGGUUGUAAACUCCUGUCAGGUGGGAAGAAGAGCUUGUCGGAUAAUACUCGGCAGGAAUUGACGGUACCACCAAAGGAAGCCCCGGCUAACUCCGUG